Molecule: small RNA, 2840 nt
Filed under: Rattus norvegicus (Norway rat)
Lineage: Eukaryota; Metazoa; Chordata; Mammalia; Rodentia; Muridae
Description: uncharacterized LOC102555118
Source: RNAcentral
GUGGCCUGUCAGCUACAGCAGAGACAGCAGGCCUCUCUGGUCAUGGCGCCUCUCCCUAGCUUUCCUUCAAGAGCCAUGUGCACAAGACACCUUCUGGCUACCUGGGGCUUCCACAGUUGUUAGAGAAGUCAACGUUCUACCAUCCAGAUCUACUACACACUGAUACAGCAAUGGGCAUUUGUUUUCCUCUAAACAAAAAGGAGGUAAGAAGAAAAAGGAUUCCGAAAGACAGACGACUGUGUGGAGAGUGUGUCUUAUCUGCAUAAGCCUUUGGAGGACAAAAGAAGACAAGGGAGCACCUAGACCUGAGUUACUAGCAUUUGUGAGCCAUCGUGUGGAUUCUAGGAACCAAGCCCAGGUCCUCUGCAGGAACAGACAAAGACUCUUCGUGGAGCCCAGAAUUCAUUUCGAGUAUCCAAAGUGUCAACGUUCUGUUUUCUCACCCGUAGUUACAUACAGUCAGUCUCAGAAAGUGUUGAGUUUGGAGUAAAAAAUAACAAACAAAUAUUGUAGUCUAGCUUCCUUGGAUGCUUCCAAACCACCUCCAAAUGACAAAGUGAAACUAGUUGAAAGCACUUGCAAGCUUUGAGUUCUACUCAAAUGCUUAAUGAAAAGAUCUCCAGAGAAGAAGCAGAUCCUUCCUUCUCCGGGAUGCCAGUUGCCUUCAACCUCGUUAAUAUUCUUAAUUAUUCAAGAGGGGGCUGAGGUUGCCAUGUCUAUGAGGUUGUCAUAGAUCAAUUAAAUCCUGAGACUUUCUGAGGUGACAUUCAGAUCGGUGACAAGGUGAAAGGAAAUCAAUUUUCACUUUUCAGCCUGCGGGUGCCCACGGAUUUCCUGGGGUGAGUGGCGAACUCUCAUUUCAGACACAAAGGCAAAGAUGGCCUUGUCUUCUGGGGCCAGAGGCUGAUUGCUGAGGUGAUGCCUGGAAGAAUGGGAACCCCAGGGGUCUUGCCUCGCCAUUAGGGGCUCUGAUACAAAAAAAGACCUCUUUAUUCUGGAGUCAGAAAAAAGCCGAGGAUGGAAUUCCUAUUUCACCAAUCCUUGAAGUGAAAUUACCCCGCACAUUUGGACUUCAAGCAGGGAUAAGAGCAGCAGCCAUCAUUAUUCAGCCAAUACAUGAUGGGAAGAAAUGCUUUCUGAGGAAGAAUGCCACCUCACGGGGAGGAAAAAUGAGUCAAGGUGGAGCAGAGUGAGCCCGCCAUUUAAUCGGCGAUCACCCUGACCUGUCGGACUUCGUCCGGCUAGGCUAGUUCCUGUAUGUUUGGGUCAAAGAAGAAGAUAAUUAAACAAAGACUGGAGCAUUGAGAGGCCUGAUAUUUCCAGGGGUUGCACUGUGAGCAAGCUGGAUAGAUGUGCGAUGCUUUUAAUGCAUUCCGUUUCCUAAUUAGCAAUCAGGGCCCAUUUGUCAGUCAUUCCAGCCAUGACGCAUACAACCCUGGAACAUAGGGCGGAGCAAGGCAAGUUGAGAAAAUCAAUUAUGCCUAUGUUUACAUUCCCUUAAGGCUGGGGUGUUGCAAAACUGCCUAAAUAUUGCAUUCUCCUUACAAAGGAGCAGGAAGGAAGGGUGAGACUGCAAUUCAGUAUAAUGAAUAAAUCUCUUGCUGUUUGGAGAAAGGUACAAUGGCUGAAUAUUUAUGAGACUGCUGAUGGGUAAUGCAUUUUAUGUGAUCUGCAACUGUGAAAAUGGAAUUCCAUUUUUAGACCUCGCAGGAACAAGUACAUGUUCAAGAAAUGAAGACUGUGCUUGUGCCUACAGAAGUUCCGUGCAAACGGUCCAGGAUUUAGCCUCAUGUUCGAAACUGGAUGGAAGAAUGGGGAGUUAAUGUCCGGCUCAGAUAAUCACUGCUUGCAAAGUCGCCUCAGACUCAGAGACGAGGUAGAACAAAACUCCCGUCUAGACUUCUGACAGCUAAAGCCAGCAUCUCCGCUUCCCCAGGGCCUAUGCAGUGUUCAUCCAAGCACCUAUCUUCCAUUUCAACCAUUCCAGGAAACCCAGUCCUGCCAGCCCACCAGACCUUGAAACUUCUAAGCCCAUGACUAACUCCUCUACUCAGCUUCCCAGAUCUCCCAAUCCCAUUGUGACUUCUGUCGUUGAAACUCUUUCCUUCCUGUUUCCAUGGUCCUCCCUCUUAACCAUCCUUCUGUGUCUCCAGCGCCCCCUGCUUCUCUUUUCCUGAGCUCUGCCUUCUGUGUCUUAAGUACUGUCGGUUCCCACCUCAACCACACAGUUUUUGAGUGAUACUUGCUUCGGUUUUCGCCAUCAAAGUCCCUAACCGGCUUUAAUUUCAUAGCUGAGCCUAAACGGUCAUCAACACUCUUUACUCCGUGGGUCCCAGCUACAAAUGACCGUCUUCUGGUCCCACCACACCCCAGUUCUUCCUUGUGCCUUCCCUGUUACAGUUUGAAGUUAAUGGCUUCUGAGAUGCUCUAAAACUCACUUUGUGAGGAUUGUGUCCUUGAGAGCCCCACCCUUUCAGGUGGGGUUGGACCUAGUAACCUUCUAACAGCUAGACCAUGGUGACAUGUGACUUCUAAGACGAGGUUUUUAAAGGGGUGUACACAGAGAGAUUAUAUUAUUUUUGUUUCUUUUGCUUUUUUUUUGACUCAGUCUCCUAUAGUCCAGGCUGGGCUUGAACUCCCUGUCCAGCAGAGGCUGACUUUAACUUCCAGAUCCUUCAGUCCCUACCUUCUGAUUGCUGAAUUGUACAUCCAGUAUGAAAUUAUACUAUAUAUAAUAGAGCUUCCUAAAUGAUUUCUACUAAUGAUUCCUUUUCACUUGAGAAAAGUGUGCAUGAUCCCCAGACAUACAAGUACAUAAAAUAGAAGUACAAAUCAAACAU